Molecule: ribosomal RNA, 465 nt
Filed under: Vreelandella stevensii
Lineage: Bacteria; Pseudomonadati; Pseudomonadota; Gammaproteobacteria; Oceanospirillales; Halomonadaceae
Description: partial 16S ribosomal RNA
Rfam family: Bacterial small subunit ribosomal RNA
Source: RNAcentral
CCUACGGGUGGCAGCAGUGGGGAAUAUUGGACAAUGGGCGAAAGCCUGAUCCAGCCAUUCCGCGUGUGUGAAGAAGGCCUUCGGGUUGUAAAGCACUUUCAGUGGGGAAGAAAGCCUUGGGGCUAAUACCCUCGAGGAAGGACAUCACCGACAGAAGAAGCACCGGCUAACUCCGUGCCAGCAGCCGCGGUAAUACGGAGGGUGCGAGCGUUAAUCGGAAUUACUGGGCGUAAAGCGCGCGUAGGCGGUCUGAUAAGCCGGUUGUGAAAGCCCCGGGCUCAACCUGGGAACGGCAUCCGGAACUGUCAGGCUAGAGUGCAGGAGAGGAAGGUAGAAUUCCCGGUGUAGCGGUGAAAUGCGUAGAGAUCGGGAGGAAUACCAGUGGCGAAGGCGGCCUUCUGGACUGACACUGACGCUGAGGUGCGAAAGCGUGGGUAGCAAACAGGAUUAGAUACCCCGGUAGUC